This 89-nucleotide ribosomal RNA is filed under the name Gerres erythrourus. RNAcentral describes it as "partial 16S ribosomal RNA". Lineage: Eukaryota; Metazoa; Chordata; Actinopteri; Gerreiformes; Gerreidae. The record is from RNAcentral.
UGCCCACCAGCAAGCUUAACCCGCAAAAUUCAACGCCACCCUAUAAAUAACCCCUAAAAUAAUGAUACCACCAUAAACAAACCAUUUUU